This 980-nucleotide ribosomal RNA is filed under the name Pantoea sp. Its description in RNAcentral is "bacterial SSU rRNA". It matches the Rfam family "Bacterial small subunit ribosomal RNA", at positions 368 to 1341 of the family's 1533-position model. The record is from RNAcentral. Lineage: Bacteria; Pseudomonadati; Pseudomonadota; Gammaproteobacteria; Enterobacterales; Erwiniaceae.
GCAAUGGGCGCAAGCCUGAUGCACCCAUGCCGCGUGUGUGAAAAAAGCCUUCUGGUUGUGAAGUACUUUCAGCGGGGAGGAAAGCGGGGAGGUUAAUAACCUCGCCGAUUGACAUUACCCGCAAAAAAAGCACCGGCUAUCUCCGUGCCACCAGCCGCGGUAAUACAGAGGGUGCAAGCGUUAAUCGCAAUUACUGGGCGUAAAGCGCACGCACGCGGUCUGUGAAAUCACAUAUGAAAUCCCCGGGCUUAACCUGGGAACUGCAUUUGAAACUGGCACGCUUGAGUCUCGUAGAGGGGGGUAGAAUUCCACGUGUAGCGGUGAAAUGCGUAGAGAUCUGGAGGAAUACCGGUGGCGAAGGCGGCCCCCCUGACGAAGACUGACACUCACGUGCGAAAGCGUGGGGAGAAAACAGGAUUAGAUACCCUGGUAGUCCACGCCGCAAACGAUGUCGACAUGGAGGUUGUUCCCCUGAGGAGUGGCUUCCGGAGCUAACACGUUAAGUCGACCGCCUCGGGAGUACGGCCGCAAGGUUAAAACUCAAAUGAAUUGACGGGGGCCCGCACAAGCGGUGGAGCAUGUGGUUUAAUUCGAUGCAACGCGAAGAACCUUACCUACUCUUGACAUCCAGAGAACUUAGCAGAGAUGCUUUGGUGCCUUCGGGAACUCUGAGACAGGUGCUGCAUGGCUGUCGUCAGCUCGUGUUGUGAAAUGUUGGGUUAAGUCCCGCAACGAGCGCAACCCUUAUCCUUUGUUGCCAGCGAUUCGGUCGGGAACUCAAAGGAGACUGCCGGUGAUAAACCGGAGGAAGGUGGGGAUGACGUCAAGUCAUCAUGGCCCUUACGAGUAGGGCUACACACGUGCUACAAUGGCGCAUACAAAGAGAAGCGACCUCGCGAGAGCAAGCGGACCUCACAAAGUGCGUCGUAGUCCGGAUCGGAGUCUGCAACUCGACUCCGUGAAGUCGGAAUCGCUAGUAA